This 253-nucleotide ribosomal RNA is filed under the name uncultured bacterium. Its description in RNAcentral is "partial 16S ribosomal RNA". It matches the Rfam family "Bacterial small subunit ribosomal RNA", at positions 524 to 776 of the family's 1533-position model. The record is from RNAcentral.
UACGUAGGGGGCAAGCGUUGUCCGGAUUUAUUGGGCGUAAAGCGCUCGCAGGUGGUUCGAUGCGUCGUGCGUGAAAGACCCCGGCUCAACUGGGGGGUGUCGUGCGAUACGGGCAGACUAGAGUUCGGCAGGGGAGACUGGAAUUCCUGGUGUAGCGGUGAAAUGCGCAGAUAUCAGGAGGAACACCGGUGGCGAAGGCGGGUCUCUGGGCCGAUACUGACGCUGAGGAGCGAAAGCGUGGGGAGCGAACAGG